RNAcentral lists this long non-coding RNA (569 nucleotides) under Homo sapiens (human). RNAcentral's name for it is "non-protein coding lnc-TRIQK-9:4". Lineage: Eukaryota; Metazoa; Chordata; Mammalia; Primates; Hominidae. The record is from RNAcentral.
AGAAGUCGAUAAGACCAGGAGAAGUGAAGAUGUAACAUGUUAUCUGUCGCUCCUCUUAGCUGGCGGAGAGAAUUUACAUUUAAAGAUUAGCAGAGUGAGAAAGAGAAAUCUGCCUUUUGUUGUGUGGGGUGAGGAGGAGGCAUCUACCCCUGGCCUUGACGCUAUCUCCCAUCACCUCUGCUAUCCAGACAGGACUCACCGAGAAAAGAUUGAUCUCUGGGCUGGUGAACAUAAUCUCUGUCCCAGUCAGAAAAGGAGAGAGGAAAUUAGCAGAGCGAUUGGUGGAGAAUGAUAUCUGUCAAAAGAAACACUUGGAGAGCACUGAGUUUAGUAAUAGGUGACUGCCGGAAAAAAGGGAACUUUGAAUAUUGUCAAGGAGGCAUGAGCCCGGAACGCGCUUGCUUUUAGGAGACAGCCACUUUCUGUGUGGUACGCUGGAUUCAAGGAUGCCUGAUCGUACUGAGAAGCACUCCACAAUGCCAGACUCACCUGUGGAUGUGAAGACGCAAUCUAGGCUGACUCCUCCAACAAUGCCACCUCCCCCAACUACUCAAGGAGCUCCAAGAACC